AUUGAACGCUGGCGGCAUGCCUUACACAUGCAAGUCGAACGGCAGCACGGGAGCAAUCCUGGUGGCGAGUGGCGAACGGGUGAGUAAUAUAUCGGAACGUGCCCAGUCGUGGGGAUAACGUAGCGAAAGCUACGCUAAUACCGCAUACGAUCUAUGGAUGGAAAGCGGGGGAUCGCAAGACCUCGCGCGAUUGGAGCGGCCGAUAUCAGAUUAGGUAGUUGGUGAGGUAAGGCUCACCAAGCCGACGAUCUGUAGCUGGUCUGAGAGGACGACCAGCCACGACUGGGACUGAGA
This 294-nucleotide ribosomal RNA is filed under the name uncultured bacterium. Its description in RNAcentral is "partial 16S ribosomal RNA". It matches the Rfam family "Bacterial small subunit ribosomal RNA", at positions 30 to 324 of the family's 1533-position model. The record is from RNAcentral.